Molecule: ribosomal RNA, 495 nt
Filed under: uncultured bacterium
Lineage: Bacteria
Description: bacterial SSU rRNA
Rfam family: Bacterial small subunit ribosomal RNA
Source: RNAcentral
GAGUUUGAUCCUGGCUCAGGAUGAACGCUGGCGGCGUGCCUAAUACAUGCAAGUCGAACGCUUCACUUCGGUGAAGAGUGGCGAACGGGUGAGUAAUACAUAAGUAACCUGGCAUCUACAGGGGGAUAACUGAUGGAAACGUCAGCUAAGACCGCAUAGGUGUAGAGAUCGCAUGAACUCUAUAUGAAAAGUGCUACGGGACUGGUAGAUGAUGGACUUAUGGCGCAUUAGCUUGUUGGUAGGGUAACGGCCUACCAAGGCGACGAUGCGUAGCCGACCUGAGAGGGUGACCGGCCACACUGGGACUGAGACACGGCCCAGACUCCUACGGGAGGCAGCAGUGGGGAAUAUUGCACAAUGGGCGAAAGCCUGAUGCAGCGACGCCGCGUGAGCGAAGAAGUAUUUCGGUAUGUAAAGCUCUAUCAGCAGGGAAGAUAAUGACGGUACCUGACUAAGAAGCACCGGCUAAAUACGUGCCAGCAGCCGCGGUAAUAC